GAUGAAGAACGUAGCGAAAUGCGAUAAGUAGUGUGAAUUGCAGAAUUCAGUAAAUCAUCGAAUCUUUGAACGCACAUUGCGCCCCUUGGUAUCCCGAGGGGCAUGCCUGUUCGAGCGUCAUUUCACCACUCAAGCCUGGCUUGGUGUUGGGCGACGUCCUCUUUGGGGACGCGCCUCGAAACGCUCGGCGGCGUGGCACCGGCUUUAAGCGUAGCAGAAUCUUUCGCUUUGGAAGUCGGGGCCCCGUCUGCCGGAAGACCUGCUCGCAAGGUUGACCUCGGAUCAGGCAGGGAUACCCGCUGAACUUAAGCAUAUCAAUAAGCGGAGGA
Molecule: unclassified non-coding RNA, 329 nt
Filed under: soil metagenome
Description: partial contains 5.8S ribosomal RNA, internal transcribed spacer 2, and large subunit ribosomal RNA
Rfam family: 5.8S ribosomal RNA (bases 1-120)
Source: RNAcentral